ACGUUAGCGGCGGACGGGUGAGUAACACGUGGGUAACCUACCUAUAAGACUGGGAUAACUCCGGGAAACCGGGGCUAAUACCGGAUAAUACAUGAAACCGCAUGGUUUCAUGAUGAAAGACGGUUUUGCUGUCACUUAUAGAUGGACCCGCGGCGUAUUAGCUAGUUGGUAAGGUAACGGCUUACCAAGGCAACGAUACGUAGCCGACCUGAGAGGGUGAUCGGCCACACUGGGACUGAGACACGGCCCAG
This 251-nucleotide ribosomal RNA is filed under the name uncultured Staphylococcus sp. RNAcentral's name for it is "partial 16S ribosomal RNA". It matches the Rfam family "Bacterial small subunit ribosomal RNA", at positions 89 to 334 of the family's 1533-position model. The record is from RNAcentral. Lineage: Bacteria; Bacillati; Bacillota; Bacilli; Caryophanales; Staphylococcaceae.